RNAcentral lists this small RNA (102 nucleotides) under Sediminicola sp. YIK13. RNAcentral's name for it is "Flavo-1 RNA". It matches the Rfam family "Flavo-1 RNA". Lineage: Bacteria; Pseudomonadati; Bacteroidota; Flavobacteriia; Flavobacteriales; Flavobacteriaceae. The record is from Rfam by way of RNAcentral.
CUUUGGCGACCGCGUUAGGGAUAGAAGCGGUAUCUUUUUUGAUUUUCUCUCGACUGCGCUCGAGAUGACAUCAAAAAAAUAUAGCGGAUAGCCCGACCCUUU